Metopolophium dirhodum (rose-grain aphid) is the source of this 1644-nucleotide long non-coding RNA. RefSeq lists it as uncharacterized. The record is from RefSeq and is a predicted model, not a curated record. The transcript is spliced from 3 exons. Lineage: Eukaryota; Metazoa; Arthropoda; Insecta; Hemiptera; Aphididae.
CACAUUCAAUUUUGUAUGGCACAUUAUGCAAUUUAGCAUUUUAUUCUAAUUAAUCUAAUUACUAAUUAGUAUAUUUAGUAAUUACGAGGACUGUGGACUUCAUGAUCUAAUAAUUAAUAUUUUAAAUUUUAAAUAGUGUAACUUAAUUUAAUAUGUACAAUGUGUGUAUAUGGUACUUUUAAUUCAUAUAUUUUAAUAUCCAGAUUGGAAAACAUGUACCAGUAGUUAAGUAGUAUUUUACUAUUUUAUAUUUAUAUUAAUUUUGAUAUUUUUUUUAAUCUUUUUAUCGUAUUUUUCUUGUAUGAUAUUUGAUCAUUAUGCCUUUUACAUGCAAAUAUCAUUCUGGUGUUCAAAUAGAAAUUAAUAAUAUAUUUGGUUAAUUCAUUCUGAUGUUCCAGACAGCCAACUUUGGAAGGGACUCCGGUAUUAUUUACUUUAUCCAUAACUAUAGAAUAUUGAACAUACACAUAAUUGAAAUAUGGAACAUUAAUUAAAUUACAGUCUCCAAGCAGUAUAUUAUAUUCAUUAGACAUUCUGAUGGACUGAGUAAAUGUCCUCUAUUUCGCAUAUUUAUAAACUCUUGAACUUCUACUUCAAGAUUGGUACGAUCAUCUGAUGUUGAUAUAAGAGAAUUAAAACAAUCAUUGCAAGUUUUUGCUAAUGAAUGUUUUUUGGCAUUUCGAGCAACAUAACCAACAAAGUUUAAUCUAUGCUGUUUAUCUUCUUUUGAUGAAUGUUGAAUACUGACAAGAGAAUUCAACAUUUCUCCACCACUCACAUUGCUUCCUCUUGGUGGUUUUAUUAGUGAAUAGCAUGAUAAUAACCGAUAAACUUGGAUGAACUGUUUAGGAUCUGGAUUCUGAUUUGAACCACAUGCUUGACGUAAACAGCCAAAUAAAUGCUAAUGAAAAAGUCAUGUUGCAUAUAUAUUAUUUUAUAAGCACUCAUUUAAACAAAAUAAAGGUUAAAAAUUUAUACUUCUAAUUUAUCUUGAUUAAUUCGCUUAGUCAUGAGGUAAGAAUAAUCGUUUACAUUUGUACAUAAAUAUUCAACCAAUUGUAAUGUACUAUUUAAUGACACUAUCAAUCCUUUUUCUGUUUGACUAGUAAAUCGAAAAUUUUGGUCUGGAAUAUCUGAUUUCCACUUAUUUAAAUAGUCAAUAAAAUCCACAAUAAUCUAUGAAAAAUAGAAUAUAACAAAUCGAUAAGUAGGUAAUUAGCCAUUAGGUACUAUGACACAUCUUUUUUUAACACAACAUUUGCUGUUUCAUAAUAAAUAAUAAUUAAUAAUUAUAAUAAAAAAAAUACAAAUACAAAUAACAAUAAUGCAAUUUUUACUUUAUUGCUGAAUGAGUUUUUGUCUGCUUGCAAGCCAUAUUUUUUAGUAUUAGAAUUCAUAAUAUCAAUUAAAUCAUUUAUUUUCCGAAUAAAACUUAUAGUUGGACCACAAUCUCUAAAUUUCUCAUGUCCUCGGUUCAUAAGUUCUUGCAUACAGUCAGCUACUGAUUUACUAAAGAACUAUAAAAUAUGAUAUAUAAUUAGGCAAUAUGUCAUAUAUAUUAAUAUAAAUAUAUUUAAGUGUUAUUUCAUCUUACAACCAUAGCCAUUUUUACAUUCAUUUUUUGAAAAUGCUGUGGAUACAAAU